CAUUGUGCUUUAUUUGUCAGAAACCAAAUGCUCUCUAUUUACUCCUGUUUUCUCUGAAGGUUAUUUCAUUGUGUUCUUCAUUUUUUUAGCAUGCCUGUUUAAACAAGCAUUUGAUUUGAGUAAUAAACUGAAUAUUUCCAUCUUUCUCAGAGUAGAGUUAGAUAUUAUGUAUUGCCUCCAGGGCAAUAAAAAAUGUAGAUAAGUUAUGUAGCCCAGAAAUGUUCUGAUCAGAGCCACGUUCAUCUAAGAAUGUUAAGUCAUGAUUUGUUGUCCAGUUUAGUCUAAUUAACAUGUUAAGAGUUCAUUUCUACAGAAAAUCCAUGAUAUGCGACUGAAUGAUUACAUGAGCGAUCUAAGGAAUUUUCCUCAAAAUUAGGGUUUGUUUCUAGAGAAGAGAUGCAAGCUUAUUUCUGUAUUUUAUAUCUACCAGCUGAAAAUGCCUGUGUGGUCCAAGGAAUUGUGCUCAAAAUCAGGGGCCUGAAUGUUGCCAUCCUAUUCAGAUUUGUUGCAGUAAUCAUUAGAAUAAUCUUGACAUGUGCAUUUGAGUAUUUUGUUAUUAGCUAUUUAUUUCUUUUUUCGAACAAUUAGCUAUUGAUUUCUUCCUUUGUUUCCUGGUCUUUGGACAGCCCAUGCAUAAUCAGGAAUGUUACAGUAAAACUUGUUUGUUCCACUACAUGAGGGGAAGAAAGAUACCUGUUUAACUCUACAUCACAUCUUCACGGACACCACAAACAAAUUUUGCAGACUACUUGCUUCAGAGCAUGUUGCAUAAUGAAUUUAUCCUCACAAAAUUGUUUGAUUCAAUGAUGAAAGCCAGUGCUAUGUUUUCUUGGUCAGCUAUGCUAACGUGGCCUUGAGCAACAUAAGAAAGAAAGGUCCUGAAUGCUGAAGAGUGUCGUGACUAUGAGAGUAUCAACACUCCAUAACCAUUGCUUCAGCAGGGCAGUUCAUGUUUGUCAUGGUGCAGAUGACCGCAACAAUCUUGAUUACUCUAACCUAUGGGAUCAUCAAAAUCUGGGACUACCUCAAGCGCCUUCUAUUCGACCUUUGGGUCUGCGAUGCAAGUUUGUGUUGCAGCUUCUUUUUAGAUGUAUCUGUGUACUGCAGACAAAAUGGUCAGCACUGUUUUGACCACUGUGUACCAUGUGCGCGUGGACGUGUUCUAUGUUUUCUCGGCUCCCAGAGUGGAGCUGUUUAUUACUAUCUUACUCCUAAACCUGGAAAACCGUGAACUAUCUGGGUUGAUUUUGUACUUGUAUUAUUAGGACAUGUUUGUACCCAGAAUGCUUGUGAUCUAAACUUAGAAAUGUUACCCUCCUGCUAAUGUUCUUGAAGUUACCAGCAUGUCAUUGCAGAAAUAUAGUAAGUUAGCAGUCAA
Phragmites australis (common reed) is the source of this 1378-nucleotide long non-coding RNA. RefSeq lists it as uncharacterized. The transcript is spliced from 2 exons. The record is from RefSeq and is a predicted model, not a curated record. NCBI's taxonomy places the organism in Eukaryota, Viridiplantae, Streptophyta, Magnoliopsida, Poales, Poaceae.